RNAcentral lists this ribosomal RNA (253 nucleotides) under uncultured bacterium. RNAcentral's name for it is "partial 16S ribosomal RNA". It matches the Rfam family "Bacterial small subunit ribosomal RNA", at positions 524 to 776 of the family's 1533-position model. The record is from RNAcentral.
UACGGGGGGCGCAAGCGUUGUUCGGAAUUACUGGGCGUAAAGGGCUCGUAGGCGGCCAACUAAGUCAGACGUGAAAUCCCUCGGCUUAACCGGGGAACUGCGUCUGAUACUGGAUGGCUUGAGUUUGGGAGAGGGAUGCGGAAUUCCAGGUGUAGCGGUGAAAUGCGUAGAUAUCAGGAAGAACACCCGUGGCGAAGGCGGCUCUCUGGGACGUGACUGACGCUGAGACGCGAAAGCGUGGGGAGCGAACAGG